This 3844-nucleotide long non-coding RNA is filed under the name Homo sapiens (human). RNAcentral describes it as "HSALNT0100935". The record is from RNAcentral. Lineage: Eukaryota; Metazoa; Chordata; Mammalia; Primates; Hominidae.
CACAUCAUUUCCUGAAAUAAUGGAGUUGGAAGGCAAUUAUCUACUCACAAAACAGGCUGAAACAACAGUUCCUGAUAUUCUUCUCAAAUACUUUAACUUCCCAAGGAAUCCGGAAAAAAUAAUUCCAUGAGACAGUGUUGUGAAUGAAGGAAGGCUGUGGAGUGAGAUAAAGCAGGAUUGCACCAUGGAGGACAAACAUCUCGGCAUCCAGUACACUUCAAAAUGUUUCUUUUUUUUUGUUUUCAAGACUGGCUGCUAUUUCCUCCAUGCCUCUUGUUUAUUAGCGUGUUGACUCAUCUAGAGCCCAGCGCCUUGUUCCACACCAGAGAGAUGGACUUGUGCCUCUGCCAAGUGGAGUCGGCUCGAGAGAUAACAGCCAGCCACAACAAUGGUCUUCCUCAGUCCCUCGGCCAAAAAGACCUUUGGCACAGUGAGCUGAGAAUGACUCAUCCCCAGUGCCCUGGAAGGCUCCGAAGUUCUGGGAGCACGGAGUGGUUGUUUGCCAGACAGAGAUAACAGGCAGGAUGCCGCAGAGAGCCAGACGUGCUCCGAACUCAGGGCCCCACCUGGCAGACGCAGAAAAGGAAAAAGGGAUGAAGCAGCCAGUUAGCACAUGGUUUCCCGGUUGCCCAGUCCAUGCCGUCAACACCAUCCAACAUUCUGAGGUUUGCCAAAAGGAUCUCGUUUACUCCUGGGUCACGUAAAGAGUACUUAACUUUUCCCCCCACUCCUUGCCGUCGUCUUAAGAGUACUUAACUUUUUUAAAAAGACUAAUGCAAUCAACUCAUCUUGAAGAGUUUGCUCACUUUCCAUUGCCCUUGGAAAAAAAAAAUGCAUGAUUAUCUGACAGGAUGAGGGUUUGAUUGUCACAUAAGUCAUUCUCUCGAUGGUUGACACAUCCUUGACUCUCAAAGGAUGGCGUUGAUAACCUAGAGAGGCAACUGAGAAUAGCCUAGGACUGGACCUGCUUGUUCUGAGCUGCCUAAAGAGCCUCUGAAACUAGUGUUAACUGUUCCACUCACUAACCUUGCCUUUAUGAGGUAGGAGGUGGGACUCAACUCUGGAGACGGGGCUCAGACACUGGACCAAAUUAAGGACUAGCUACAACAGGACCAGGGUGGAAGCAGCUUUCCAUAAGGCGUGCCCACCAGUGUGCCAUGUCAGUUUACCAUUGCCAUGUCAACACCCGGGCGUUAUCGCUCCUUUCCAUGGCAAUGAUCCGAUGACCCAAAAGUUACUAACCCUUUCCUAGAAAUUUCUGCAUAAACCAUCCCUUAGUCUGUAUAUAAUUAAAAGUGGGUAUAAAUACGACUGCAAAGCUGCCCUGAGCUGCUCCUCUCUGCUUAUGGGGUUGCCCAGAUCUGCAGGAGCAGUCAUGGAGGUAUAACACUGCUGCUUCAGUUAAGCUGUUUUUGUCUACCUCCAGCAUGCCCUUGAAUUCUUUCCUGGGCAAAGCCAAGAACCCUCGUGGGCUAAGUCCCACUUUGGGGCUCACCUGCCCUGCACCAUUUAGAUGUAGAGAUGGCUACACUGCUUUGCAGGCUUCUUUAGCCCAAGUCAUUAGAUGCACAGGUAGCCAUCACCUUUGAAAGAUUCUGUUGUAAACUUGUGAUAAAAAUGCCUUUCAUGGUCUCAUAGACAUUUUUUAUAAUAACUAAAAUAGUGAUUGUUUUCAUUACAAGCUCAGUAUUGUACUAUAAAUCACUUAACUGCUGAAGUACAAUGUAAGUCCUGAAUGGCAAUGUCAGUGUUAUUAACCAUUAUUAACUCAAGGACAGUGGGGAGUAAGGAAGAUGAGUUCUGUUUCAUCAUUUUCCAAAGUCACAGAGCUUGUUCUUCAACAGUGACUCAAAGCAAAUGCCAUAGCCUGCUUUGUUAUAAGAAUUUUGAUACAUAGUUAAUAUUUACAUAAUGACUUACAAUUCAACAUGAAAGCUCCCAUGUCAGUACUAAGUAACUUAAUUACACCAUUUAUAAAUACAGUACUGUCGGCCCUCCCUACCCUUAGGCUUCCCACCUGCAGAUUCAACCAACUGUGGAUCAAAAAUAUUCAGAAAAGGCCAGGCGCAGUGGCUCAUGCCUGUAAUCCCAGCACUUUGGGAGGCCGAGGUGAGCGAAUCACGAGGUCAGGAGUUCAAGACCAACCUGGCCUACACGGUGAAACCUUGUCUCUACUAAAAAUACAAAAAUUAGCCUGGCAUGGUGAUGCGUGCCUGUAAUCCCAGCUACUUGGGAGGCUGAGGCAGGAGAAUUUCUUGAACCUGGGAGGUGGAGGUUGCAGUAAGCUGAGAUUGCGCCAUUGCAUUCCAGCCUGGGCGACAGAGCAAGACUCUGUCUGGAGAAGAAAAAAAAUUUCAGAAAAAAACAAUUAAAAAUAACAAUACAACAACAAAUAAUAACACAUAUAAGAAUCAAUGCAGCAUAACAACUAUUUGCGUAGCAUUUAGAUUGUAUUAAGUAUUAAAAGUAAUCUAGAGAUUUUUAAUGGAUAUCAGGAGGAUGUGCAUAGAUUUUAUGCAAAUAUGGUGCCAUUUUCUCUAAGGGAUUUGAACAUCCACAGAUUUUGGUAUCCACUGGAGGUCCUGGAACCAAUCCCCCACCGACACCAAGGGACGGCUAUAUAUUUUUUCCCUUGACCUAACACCUACUCACUUUUGGACAGCAUUAUAAAAUAAUCAGCAUCAUCUCCAGAAGUAUUUAUCAGGCAUCUAUCAUGGUAUUGUAUUAAUUAGGUCAUCUACUGAAAGGCAGAAUGUUCUUCACUUCAGAUUUUACAACACCCUUUUUUCAUAAUACGUGGAUAGGUUUGUUUUUAAAUGUUGGUGACUUAAACCUCCUGAAGAGAGGGACCUCAUCAGAGUGGAAGUCUUACUUCGAUCAAAGCCCGAUCAUACAACCUAUUUUCAGCAUGUUUCUAGCAAGUUAAGGCGAAGCUUAGCUAGAUUGCUUAGGCUUGGGUAAGGACCGCACACUUUGCUUGUAGCGUUCUUAGUCUCUUGGUCUAAGCAAGGCUGUGAUUCACCAUCUGAACUCAAUAGCGCCGUUUCUUGCACUGGGUGGUUUGCUAAAUUCACAUAGAUAACCCAAAGAAAGUUCAAGAUCAGAAAGAGAGAAGAUUGACUUACUUGUUAUGAGGGAAUUUUCAUUCACAGAGCCAUAAAAAUAUAAUCAUGAAUUUUGUGGAUACUGCGUCCUUUGGGCCAGCCAUCUAGGGUACAGAUGGGACGUGAUGCCAUUGUCUAGAAGCCCUAGGGUUGCAGGUGGCUGCUGGCAAAGCGACCCACCAUCCAUCCCUUGCUGCAUCGGGAUCAGGGGCCGUUCCAUGAGCUGCUGCCCUGAGAGGCCUCGGUGUUUCUGUUCUUUGCCACCCGCUUCUGUAUGUGAAUCACUCUGAGUAUUUACAUCCUUUGACAUUAUUCCUGUUUCCCCGUAUUUUCAUGUCCAUUAAGCUGAUACUGUAUAGGCUUGAUGACGGUGUCUUUUUCUCAGUGAUUUUCUCCACACAGUAAAAUGGUGCCCAAUGGGAGAAUAAAGUCUCCUUGCUCCAUAGAAGGCCUGCACUUUACAUGUAUAUAUGAGAAAAAGCUGGUUUCUGUUAGUCUAUAAUGUAUUAAGAUGUGGUUAGUGAAAAACUGCCUUCCAAAAUUCAGUUAAUAUAGAAAAUUAAGUAUUUUUAAAAAUUUUUCAGACUGCUUAUUGUAGAAUGAAAUUGGCCCUUGUCUUAUCUCAGCCACUUUACCCCCAAUCUGGACAUUUUAUUAUAAAUACAGUUCUGCUUUCAGACCAUCAUAUUUUUGGAAAAGAAAAUUGUGUAAGGUAAAAGUGAUUACAUUCAACACAUUUA